CCUACGGGCGGCAGCAGUGGGGAAUAUUGCGCAAUGGGCGAAAGCCUGACGCAGCGACGCCGCGUGAGGGAUGAAGGUCUUCGGAUCGUAAACCUCUGUCAGCAGGGAAGAACGGUCACUGUGCUAAUCAGCAGUGAAUUGACGGUACCUGCAAAGGAAGCACCGGCUAACUCCGUGCCAGCAGCCGCGGUAAUACGGAGGGUGCGAGCGUUAAUCGGAAUUACUGGGCGUAAAGCGCUCGUAGGCGGUAUGUCAAGUCAAGGGGGAAAUCCCCGCGCGCAACGUGGGAACUGCCUUUGAAACUGGCAAACUGGAGUGUGUGAGAGGAUAGUGGAAUUCCAGGUGUAGGAGUGAAAUCCGUAGAUAUCUGGAGGAACAUCAGUGGCGAAGGCGACUAUCUGGCACAUAACUGACGCUGAGGAGCGAAAGCGUGGGUAGCAAACAGGAUUAGAUACCCCGGUAGUC
RNAcentral lists this ribosomal RNA (465 nucleotides) under uncultured bacterium. Its description in RNAcentral is "partial 16S ribosomal RNA". It matches the Rfam family "Bacterial small subunit ribosomal RNA", at positions 338 to 795 of the family's 1533-position model. The record is from RNAcentral.